UCACUGCUGCUCUCCACAUUAUAUUGUCCCUCACUCUUCUUGUAGUUGCCAACAUUGUCAACUUGGGAACUGUUCUGAAUGCAACAAUCUCCACCGCCGUGCCUGCUGCUUCGUCAUGGCAUUUGGAGUAACCCCGAACAUUCUCUGCUCAGAGAUCAUGCCUACGAGCAUCCACGGCCUCUGCAUUGCCAUCUGUGCCCUCACAUUCUGGAUUGGAGACAUCAUCAUCACUUACGCAUUUCCUGUCAUGCUCUCCUCCGUUGGAUUUGCUGGCAUCUUCGGAAUCUAUGUUGUCGGGUGCAUCGUUCCUGGAUAUUUGUUUACUUGAAGGUGCCUGAAACUAAAGGCAUGCCUCUUGAAGGUAGCUGCUGCUGAUGCAUCUGUUGGAUUCCAAUGAUAACUGAUUUGAUUUAUUUAGAGGGUUUGAAAGUUUGGUUUGGCUUUAGACGGGAUUAUGAGGACAGGAUUUGAGUUGGAAAAAGUGUUGAUGACUGGAUUGGAUUUUUAGAAAGUGAUUUUGUAAUCAUCACUAUCUACUGAUUGCUUGUCUGACAUAUUUUUUAAAAAUUAGUGUCUGAUACUAAUUUGACUUGCCUAUUUUAACCAUUUAUUUAUAUCAUCAUUUGUAUCAUCUUUCUAAUAAAAAUGAGACUCACAUGCAUUUACAAGCCGUAAAAAAAUUAUAUACAAAUAGAUGAUAAAUAUAGCACUACUAUUUUUGUAAUAUUUUUUAAAAUUUUGUAGAACGAAAAAAAGGAAAAGAAGAGAGACUGUUUUAACUGCAGGCCUAAAAGCAGAGCCCUGUUGCCGCGUAGCACUAGGAAGUCAGUCAUCGUCUUCAGUCUUCACCAAAUUGAGUUAGAAGAAUUAGGGUUUUAGAGCUGCAAAGAUCCAAACUUUAUCAGUCUCUCCGAAAGUAAUUAGAGAAAUGGAAACCCAAUCAAGGGAUGGAGACUCUCUGGAGAAGCGGCCCGGCAUCUUCUUCCUCGGCUCCCCCGGCGUCGUCAAACGCUCUCUCAUUUCCCGUAUGCUCUCUCUCUUUCUCUCUCCUUUGGUCGAUAGAUUUCUAGGCUUACCGGGUUUGGAUUUUUGACGAUGCUUCUGAUUCUUCAUCGUCAUCUCAGCUGGUAGUUGAUGGGUAUGUAAAAUUUUGAACUUAGGGAUCAAAGAAUUCAACUCUUAUGAAUUUUGGGAACAAACAAUUCGUUUUGAAUUCUUUUGAAAUGUGUAUUUUGAUGACUUUUGUUGUAAAGAAAUAGAUGGAAUAUCUCUACAAAUUACUACACAGCUGGUGUUUCGGUAUGGUUGGUUCAUCUCCAUGACGAAUUUUUUAUAGAGUCCCUCCCAAUGUAUGAGCAGUUGGCUGCCUUGAUCUUGGUUUUCGACACAACUGAGGUUUUGGUCUCUUGCCACUCACUCUUUGUCACUUUGUUUACUUGUUUAUCAUGAUUUUCAAUGUGUCUUAUAUCAAUUUGCUCUCAUUAUGCUGCAGUUGUCGUCUCUGUCUGCGCUUCAGGAAUGGGUAUCUCAAACUGAUCUUCAAAAGUUCGAUAUACUAGUAUGCGUAGGGAAUAAGGUUGAUCGUGUUCCGGGUCACCCGGUUCGUGCCGAAUAUAGAAGACGACUGCAGAAGCUUGGAGACCCGUUUGCUGAUGCCGGUCCAGGGUUCACUGCGUAUGGAAUCUCCGAGACUGAAGGAAGCAGUUUAUUGGGGGAUGACGAGCCAUUUUGGGGGGCUAGCCACACAUGUUUGGAAUGGUGCACUGAGCAUAACAUUGAGUUCGUUGAAGCUUGCGCUUCAAAUACUGAUUUUGACAAAUGUAAGGUAGCCCUUCUUUCUGAUUUGUAGUUUAUGGCAAGUUUUAUACGAAAGUGAAAAAUAAAAAGUACCCUGCUCGAAGGUUACUUUCAUGUGUCAGCUUCAAUAUUAGAAAGAGUUGGUUAGCCUGAGAAAAUGAAUAAAAGUGAUAUCGUGAUAAAUGAGCACGUCGAUCGUACGGCACACAAAUUUCCUGCUUUGUUGGAUAUCUUUUAAGUUUAAGGUACUGUUUUACAGGUUUGUCAGUUGAUGGCGACUCGCAAGGUAUUGAAUGACUUUUUGGUGCUCUUUCCGCACAUAUGUGGCCUGAAAUGAUUCUGAAAUCAGGCGAUAAGAUUGCUGAACCGUCAUUACCUGAAAGAGGAGUAGGUUUUAUACUAUGCCGCUUAUAUUUGGUUUAUAAUAUAUAUUUUACUAUUAAGUAGGAUUCUAAAUGUCUGAAACUUGAAUCCUUUGUGCUAGACUUGUCAGAUGAAGAAUCUGAUUAUGAAUUUGAGUAUGAAGUCCUCUCUGCAGGUUCAGCUGAUCCAUUUGAUGACACGGAAGAAUGGGUUUCUGCGAAUGGUUUUGCUGGACCUUCAGAUAUGCGAGGACUGGCUGCUCAAGGUAAUCUAGUCCUAGAAUGCAAACAAGAGAAUGGAACCAGUUCUAAUAAGGAGGUUCCCCGUGCCUUGAACUCGACAGCUGCGUUGGAUGAUAGUAUUAGCAAAGGAGUAUCCAGUGCAGAAGAACCUGAACAGGACACAGAACAUGACCAAGCCCCAGAACCGGAUGAGGGUACGAAUUUUGAAUUUGAAGAUUUGGAACAGUCGAUGUCUGAGAUUGGGAACCUGCGCAACAGUUCGAGAUUGCUGCCGGAUUUUCAGAGAAGAGAUAUGGCUGAUAUGGCUGCAAUGCUGGCCAUGAAAAUGGCUACCAUGUUUGGGGUUGGCAGUGAUGGUGAAGUGGAAAGUAUCGGCGAGUAAAGGCUAUGAGUAUCUGUUGACCCUAGAAAUUACAAAGCCUACGUGGCGCGCAGGCCGAGUAUAUUCUAAGCUAACUACGUCCUUCGGUGAUUGCGGGGCGUGCCAACUCGUCGGCCGAGGUUCGGCCGAGGAAUAAAUUUGAUGAUGCUGUGUUGAGUCGCGCUACUGACUUUUGCGUCUUGCGAUUGCGGCCGAGAAAGGAACACGUCUCGGCCUCUUGGGUUCUCGAGCCUGAAGACAAGGCUGCUAUUUCUUACAAAGUUCACGAACCGAAUUCGGCUUGCAAUGUGCCGAAUAAUAACUGUGACACCUCACCUCGCCGAGAAGGCUAAUGAGAUGACCUCGACCAACAAGGAUCCGAAAACCCCUCUCGACCGAGACUUGGAUAGGUAACCGACCGUUCUCGCCGCAGUGCUGUUGAUGCCAACGGAAGAUACUGCGAGACCGACCGACUCUACGGUGACAGAGCUAUCUAUGCCGACUUAAGAUACCACCGGUUGCUUCCACAGUGCUGUUGAUGCCAACGGAAGAUGUGUCAGCGAAAAAGGAAAAGAAAAAGAUCUCAAGUUGUGAGAAUUUGCGCAGGGCAAUUUUGUAUUGAUUUUUGUGGGGGCCUCUUGAAUAAUGCACAGCCUCAUGUAUUUAUAAUACUAUUUACUGGCCAUGUUGAACUUUAUCCGUCGCGGCAUCCAAGCUAUCAAAAUAAUAUUCCUCAGAAUAUUUUCCUUCAACAACCCCACGGAUUGCUAUUCAAUUGUUAUCUUUUGCAUGCCCAAAAGAGACCAUAUCACUUGGAACUCUACUUCCCGUCAGACAGUAUCCUAAACAUCACCAACUCUUGCUUGGUCAAUCCUAAUCUUUCACCCAUCCACAUAUGCUUUAUCCACGCAUACAUGAUACUUAAAACAAAUGGUUAAUGGUUUUUGCUUUAUCUGCAAAAACUACCAUGAUCCUGUCACAUCACCUUGUUUUGGUUACUCCCCACAUCAUCUCAAUGUGCUGAUCAUCCCAUUACUUUGUGGAAUUGCUCCCCACGGUUCCGUAUACCAAAUAGAACUCCAAUGCUGCAUGGUAUUUUACAUAACCACAAUUAAUUCAAACUCUGUUGUUGUUGUUUUCAUUGGAGAUAAUGAAAAUCCCAUUUAUUCCUCCGUAUAAGAAAAGGAUAAAUAAUGAUUAUGAUAAAAAUCAUAAUAUUAUCCCUCUAUCUUCACUUUUCGAUCGACGGUGUAGAAACGUGCUUACUCAACGGCCUUGAUUACUCGGGCCGAUGGUGUAAAUUUGGGCUCAAACAUUGCCCCCCAAUUUCCUUGCACUUCGGCUCGUAAGCCGAAUGGUUAAGGAAAUUAGCGCAGUUGAAGAAAUAUAUAGUCGAAGAGAAUUGAGCAUCCACCGCCGCAUAAAAAAUCACUCGGCAGAAAGUUGUUCUAAAUACAACCUUGCCGAGGAAGAAAAGCAACCAUAUACCAGAUGAUUGGGUUCUAUGCCGAAUACCCAACAGACAGAGCAACAUGGAGAAUCAACAGCCUCGGCAUCAAUCUAUGACAGCACACAAUACACUAAAACACAUUUUCAUGCAAGCUAACUUUAUACAUACAUAUAUAUAUAUAUAUACAUAUAUAUAUAUAUAUAUAUAUACAUAUACAUAUAUAUAGUUGAGGUCAAAAGCACAUGCACGUGGUCUUAGUGUUCUUCUCAGUUGAGGCGCACAAAACCCAAAAAGAAAAACCAAAUCAACUAGGCAAUACCUUGACAAGCCGUCCUUGGCCAACUUCUUUUAUAUAUCUCGGCCAACUUUUUUUUAUUUUUUUUUUAUUCGGCUUUUAUUCGGCCUCGGUCUAGACGGUCGAAAUGCUCCUUUUUUCCAGUUUGUGCAUCAAAAAUUAUUCCUACUUUUUCUCUCUUCUGCACCGAGUAUCAAAUUUAACCGAGUAUCUGUGUAGCCCCCCUUAUUUUCUUAUGCAUCGGCUUAAUUAGCCAGAUGAUUAAGAAAAUAAUUUAUUCUCUUUUUUUUUUUUUUAAAAAAAAACAGAAGAAAACGAAAGUGGCCGAUCAAUAGUAAGGAGGAGGCCAACGAUGCUUUACUCCAAGCCGAGAUCUUUUAAUAUCAAAAUUCUCAAAUUGAUUUUGCUCUAGGCCGAAUAAAGAAUUUUCUCCAAAUAUUUUUGACUUGGUGAAAUAUUUUUCAUUCUCGGCCGCCGAAUGUGUUAAACAAUUAUUAUGCCCCCCAGGCAUAAUUUCGGCUUUUAAUUCAAACAACUUAGCCGAACAGGAUUUCUCCAUAUCGGCUUUAUUGCCAAUAAUCAUAUCAAUUGGCGUAGUUUCUUGGGCUAGGCCAAUAUCUUGGCCUUGUUCGUCAUUGGAGCAUUCCUCUGACGAAUCAUUUUCCAAGUCAAUUUUUGUAUCUAGCUCAAGAACUUGAAUUUUUUCUUCUAGGCCUACCACACUUUCAGUCUCGACCGAAAAAAUAGGUGGCUUUUGUUCUUCGGCCAAAUUAACAAUUUUCUUAGGCUGAUGUCUGAUUACGGCCGGAGCGAAAAAUUGCCCCCCGGCCUUUAGGCCUAACCAUUUUUCAAAUGGAAUAGAUUUGUAAUCAGAAACGUAAGGAAAAUUUUCUUCAUCUAGCCAGGCAUUAAAUCGAGCCCUGUCUUCAUUUAUCCAUUGCCCUUGUAGGAUAACAGGAGCUUUUAUUUUCAACAUGCAAGCGAAUGACUUUUGCAUCUCUUUAUGGCCACGAAGAACUUUUUAUGCUUCCAAAGAUUUUUUUUGUUCCUCAUUGUAUUUUUUCAAUUCCUCUAGGAGCUCGUGCAAUCGGCUAAAUGGAGCCAGAUUGACAUUUUGAUCUAUCAUGUGAACUUCGUAGUUUUAGCACUGGGUCCCACUGGGCGUGCCAAAAUGUUGACCCUAGAAAUUACAAAGCCUACGUGGCGCGCAGGCCGAGUAUAUUCUAAGCUAACUACGUCCUUCGGUGAUUGCGGGGCGUGCCAACUCGUCGGCCGAGGUUCGGCCGAGGAAUAAAUUUGAUGAUGCUGUGUUGAGUCGCGCUACUGACUUUUGCGUCUUGCGAUUGCGGCCGAGAAAGGAACACGUCUCGGCCUCUUGGGUUCUCGAGCCUGAAGACAAGGCUGCUAUUUCUUACAAAGUUCACGAACCGAAUUCGGCUUGCAAUGUGCCGAAUAAUAACUGUGACACCUCACCUCGCCGAGAAAGCUAAUGAGAUGACCUCGACCAACAAGGAUCCGAAAACCCCUCUCGACCGAGACUUGGAUAGGUAACCGACCGUUCUCGCCGCAGUGCUGUUGAUGCCAACGGAAGAUACUGCGAGACCGACCGACUCUACGGUGACAGAGCUAUCUAUGCCGACUUAAGAUACCACCGGUUGCUUCCACAGUGCUGUUGAUGCCAACGGAAGAUGUGUCAGCGAAAAAGGAAAAGAAAAAGAUCUCAAGUUGUGAGAAUUUGCGCAGGGCAAUUUUGUAUUGAUUUUUUGUGGGGCCUCUUGAAUAAUGCACAGCCUCAUGUAUUUAUAAUACUAUUUACUGGCCAUGUUGAACUUUAUCCGUCGCGGCAUCCAAGCUAUCAAAAUAAUAUUCCUCAGAAUAUUUUCCUUCAACAACCCCACGGAUUGCUAUUCAAUUGUUAUCUUUUGCAUGCCCAAAAGAGACCAUAUCACUUGGAACUCUACUUCCCGUCAGACAGUAUCCUAAACAUCACCAACUCUUGCUUGGUCAAAUCCUAAUCUUUCACCCAUCCACAUAUGCUUUAUCCACGCAUACAUGAUACUUAAAACAAAUGGUUAAUGGUUUUUGCUUUAUCUGCAAAAACCACCAUGAUCCUGUCACAUCACCUUGUUUUGGUUACUCCCCACAUCAUCUCAAUGUGCUGAUCAUCCCAUUACUUUGUGGAAUUGCUCCCCACGGUUCCGUAUACCAAAUAGAACUCCAAUGCUGCAUGGUAUUUUACAUAACCACAAUUAAUUCAAACUCUGUUGUUGUUGUUUUCAUUGGAGAUAAUGAAAAUCCCAUUUAUUCCUCCGUAUAAGAAAAGGAUAAAUAAUGAUUAUGAUAAAAAUCAUAAUAUUAUCCCUCUAUCUUCACUUUUCGAUCGACGGUGUAGAAACGUGCUUACUCAACGACCUUGAUUACUCGGGCCGAUGGUGUAAAUUUGGGCUCAAACAGUAUCUAAGAGAGAUGUGAGUGUUACACAUCCCUGAAUCCCCUUGGACUUUUUUCCACAACGUGGCAAGGAAAGGAGAAUCGGCAGUCUUCUUUUCUCUUUUACUGUAUAAGUAGGUUCAGAAUAGUCGAUACCAAUUAACCGUGCCCAAACCGAGUUUGUAAGAAACUUGUGCUUUUAAUGAAACAAUGGAAAUGUUGGGAUUGCAUUCGAAAAUCGAAGGGAUGAAUCGAUUCCUGUAUGAGCGCAAUUAGUGAUGAUGUUUCUCAACUUCGAUAUGAAAACCAACGUACAAAUUACAAAUUUCCUCCAAUGAUGGAUGCAAAUCAAUCUUAGUUGAUGAAUCGAUUUUAUACUAUAUAUUACUCCCUAUUCUUGGUAUAUUUUGGUUAUUAUUUUGGUGAGAUUUUGAUGCUUUGUUAUGUGUUUUUAAUGUAGGACAUGCGAACUUGUUAUGAGCAUAAAGUAAUCAAACAGUGGAUUUUUUGAGUGAUUCCAAUUGGAGCGGGUUUAUGAAUCUGUCAAGAAGGCUGUAUCAAAAUUUCAUAAUUUUAUCCCCAAGCAUUUGAUUGUGGCGAAUUAAUUUAUACCCAACGCGCAGUGUUGGCAUAUGGGGCUGCAGAGCUUAUUUGCGACUCCUGGGUUGGAAGAUGAUGGAUUUUGGACUUGGACUUGGACUUUUCUUGAAACUUGAAGAGGAGGUCCUUUAAUUCAAGUCGAUUUGGGCUUGUUUUGGAGCCCUAAAGGUCCAAAAACGUGGUUAUCUCUUUGCUGGGCAGAUUUCGUAGUUAGAAUAGGAAUGCAAUUCCUAGUUAUCCUUUUAUUAUUUUAUUUCCUAGUUUUUAGAAACCUUUUCUAUGAGGGUUUAAAUUGGGAGUAGUAUAAAUAAGGAUUUUUUAGCCAUUAGGGUUCUGGGGGGAGAAUGUAUGCAUUAUUUUGUAGAACUUCAAACUUUUUACCUACAAGGUGUUUUCAUUCUUUUUUCUAGUUAAUAUAUUUUAUUUAUUUUUUAUUAUGAUUGUUCGUAACUAGCUCUUUUGCUAGGGCGAAGCCACAAGCCUUAGCAUGAAUAUGUGAUUUUAUUAAUUUGCCUAUGAAUGGAUACAUGCUUGCUUUGAAUUAUUAACCACGACGAUUAAGCUAUCUAAUUGUUUUAGUGAUUCGUGAUCAUUAGGGUAUUAGACAAGCAAUUUGAUGCAAUUUCUGUUGGAACAUCACUCUGAAAUUGAGGAAGGCUUCUUGUGAUUAGUAAUUGUAAGUUCACUUAAGGUGAACAUCAUGCUCUUAGGGUUGCAUGGUUUUUUGAAGGGUUUUCACAAAGCUUAAUGAAUCUUACACGUUUAUAUUUGAUCGGGACAUCACAGACGGAUUGCAUGUUAGAUAUAUAUUUUCGCUUGAACAUCACAAGGAAAAUAUGUAUUAGGAAAACCUAACCUUCAAAGCAUGUAUGUAGAAAUUCAUAAGUAAUUGGUAAAAUUACAUAGGAUUGUUAAUGGUGACUGCAGAAUCCUAGUGUUUAAAUUGUUUUCCAAAACCUUUGUCUUUUGCUUUCUUUACUUUGUCAAGCACUUAAUUAUUUUUAUUUAAAUUCGUUUUUAUUAUUUUAAAUUCCAAAACCAACCAUUUCAAACCUUUGUUCUAAAUAAUUAGCUAAGAAUUAGUUUAAAUACAAAUUAUUCAUUCAAUCUAUGCGGCAAACAACCUUGUUUGAGCUAUUAUACUACGAUACCCUUGUACUCUUACAAAUAUUUUUAAGUGUUUUUAUUCCUACUUUUGUAGGUGAUAAAAAUCCUAUCAAGAAAUUGGUGCCGUUGCCGGGGAUCGUUUCAAAUAAUUUGUGUUUAUCAUAUUCUUAGUUAAUUAUUUUUGUAAAUAUCUUUUUACUUGUUGAUUUUAUUUUUAUUUUUAUAGGUUAUGUUUUGUUGGUUUUGAGAACAGUUAAACGAUGGGCUGGAAUCUACAACCAACAGGAGGGCUACCUUCAUGGAAUUAUAUCAAUAUGAGGAACUCUCAAAGGCCUAGGUGCGAUCCAUACUCAAAACUUUACAAUCUAAGAGCCCCUUGAACAGCCAACCGUGCCACAAAGAUCUACUCUAGAUGACAAACUUGCUGAAUUGGCAGAGUGUGUCAAGCAAUUUGUUGAUAGCAUGCCGAAUACCAAACCAUCAGCAAAGAUAAUUGAAGAGCAAGAUGGGCAGCUUUCGUAUCAAUUCAUAGAAAAUGAGAACGAUUCAUAUUCAAACUUUUACAAUCGGUGGACAGAGCAUCCUACUUCUAUGUGGGUAAGCAAUCAACAGGCUUUUCAGCAGCCCUGUGUGCCACAAAAACUUUCUUUGGAGGACCAGAUUGCUAAGUUGGAGGAGUCCACUAGGUUGUUCAUGGAGGGUACCCCUUAGUUGCAGAAAAUAAAUUCAAUCGACAAUCUGGCACAGCAAAUCGAGCAUCUCACGUAUCAAUUGGAAGAACAAGAAAACGAUUCCAAUUCAAAUUUCCCUAAUCAACCAAUCGCAAACCUACAGGGUUCAAAGGAGUGCUCUGCAGAUCAAACAUUGAGAUGGGGGGAAAACCAACGAUACUACAAUGGAAGAAUCUGAAAUUGAAGGCCCAACGGGAGAAACAGCGCCUACUGACCUUGAACCUGUUAUGACCCAAAGGCAGCAGCAGACCAUGACGGAUCAACAAAAUCAAGAUUCUAUGCGGACACAUGCAAAAGUGCACAUUAAUCUGCCGCUACAGGAUGCGACUGAAAAAUCUCCAAAGCAAUCACUAAAUUUCAAUUUAUUCGAGGCUCCAAGGCAACCCGCUAAGCAGCAGGAAUGCAUGAAUACUCAAACAGAUUUGGAUACAGGGCAGACGGGUGGUGAUGAGAAAUUUUUAAAUGCUGUACUGGAUAGUACACCAGCACAGCCGAUCAUAUUUAGAGAAAUUUGGGGAAAGUCCUACAAGCAAGCUAAGAUUUGCAUGGGAAAUAAGAAAAAGCUUAAUGGCAGCUGCAUUCUUCGUCAACAAAUUCUACUAGUGCAAAGGUUGUGGGUGUUAAAUACAAGGUUCAAGUCAUCCAAGUAUUGAACUUUGAGUGUGUGGAUUAAUCUGUUCACAUGUGUGCAAUAUGAUUUGGCCGAUGAUAAUAAGUUCACCAAGUGUUUCAAGAAAUGCCGUAGUGAAUAAACUAAAUUUUCUUUUUGAGUGGUUCCGGCUCUAUUCCUAUCUAGGAAACUUGGACCUUCUAGGACCUCCAAUGUUUAUUCUACAAAGUAUUGCUUGUGAGUGCUCUGGAUUGCAAAUUAUGAUUCCAGGCAAUAAAGUUUCAAGACGGUUUGGCUGUACCCAUAAAGAUCAAACGACAUUUGAACUUCCUCUAGAUAACGAAGGAUGAGAGAGAGGUAAAUCAUGUGUUGCUCAUUUUUUCAGCUUAGCUGACAAUUAAUUAAUUAAGUCCGUCGAAAAAAAAUACAAAACAAAGAUGUGGCCUUCGAAAGUGGGCAAAUGGGUCGGAAUUAUUAUUUCAUUCCCGGUGAAGAAAGGCCACAGUUGAUUACAAUAUCAAAAAAUAAUUGAAUACAGACAAACUAUAGUGAUCAGAUCAAAGGAAAAAGAAACUCCAUAGUGGAGAGAAAUUUACCUACAUCAUCAUCGGAGAUACUUUCCUUGGUAUGGCCACUAUUAGUAAUAUUUUUAUAUUUUUCAGUUGUCUGUGAUUAUUUUAAAAUAUUAUAACGGUGGAUUGUUACAUCAAAGGUAGUUGGUAGUAGUUUGCAACAAAACUUUAUCUCCUUUAAAUUAAAGAACCCCAAGUAACAAUUUUAUAUUUUUCAAUCGUCAAUGAAACUGCCUAGAAAAUUCAUCUCCUUCAACUUGACACCACAUUCAUAUUGAAAGGUAGUAGGUAGGAAACCGCUUGGUAGGUAGGAAGAAAAGCAUGAGGACUAAUAUAACAAGAGAGAGUCCACAUUCACAUUGAAGGUGGUAGGAAACUGCUGCUUCCUUCAAGGGAAGAAAAGCAUGCGUAAGGCCUGAUAUUAAUAUAUAUAACAAGAGAGAGUCCAAUGUCCACACUCCAUAGUCCAUACCAUACUGCAUAUUCCAAUUCUUUGAGAGGCCUCUUUUCUUUAGUUUAUUUGUCUUUAAUUCUCUUAUGGCCAUUCAACUUGCCUCUUCUUCUUCCUUGCCUCCUUCAUGGACAUAUGAUGUAUUUUUGAGUUUUAGAGGUGAGGAUACACGCUUUACUUUUACAGAUCAUUUAUACGAGGCCUUGCAUCGUAACAGAAUCGACACCUUCAUUGAUCGCCAUUUUAAAAGAGGAGAAGAAAUAUCACCGGCUUUUCUAAAGGCAAUUGAAGAGUCGAGAAUUUCAAUCAUUGUAAUCUCUGAAAAUUAUGCAUCGUCAAGAUGGUGCUUGGAUGAGCUCGUACAUAUCCUUGAAUGUAGAAGGUCAAGGCAGCAAAUAGUUUGGCCAGUUUUCUACAAGGUGGAUCCGUCCCAUGUACGAAAUCAAACGAGUAGGUUCGGUGACGCAUUUACAGGACUAGAGUGCAAAUACAAGGACGAGGAGAAGAUCCUCUUAUGGAGGAGUGCUCUUAAAGAAGUAGCAAAUUUGUCAGGACAUACUGUCAAAGAGGAAGAGUACGUACAUUUCUUCACUCCUUUUAGUUUGUUUAAUUAUAUGAUUCUGUAUUUCAGGUUUUAGUUUCUACUAAAAUAAUACCUAUUUAGUUGCUAGUUUUUAAAUCCCUAGCACUUAAAAACUGCAGCAAUUCCAUAAUUUUCCAGCUUUGUUGAAUGGCAAGUCUAUAAUUUACAUAUGAAGAAGAUAACUCUUAUCAAUGCUACUAUAUAAAGUUGGAAGCCCAUUUGCGGUCACGGGUUUCACCAUAAAUGAUGGGAUAAAAAUGCUCCUCAAAUAAAAAAGUUCAAAAAAGUCUAAAAUAAUACAUGAAAUAAUGUAGGAAUAUUUUGGUAAUAUAAACAGCAUUUUUUUUAUAAUUAAUUUUUUUGUACAGUUUUAUUUUAUAUUAUUUUUAUAAUUAAUACCAUAAUGUGUUAGUAAUAAUGUGAUUUAAUCAGUUGUUAAUUAAAUAUUAUUUUCUCUAUUUUUAAACAUGUUCAAAACAUCUUAAAAGAUAUGUAAUGCCGGUUAUAAAAAUGAUAUUUCUUGCGUGUAUUAUCUACAUUAAUGAAAAGGGGAUAGAUUUACUCCACACGCGCUACGCGCAUGAAGGCCAGUUUAUGUUAAACCUACAUGACCAUCUUCUUCAUAUAUAAUUAUCGACUUGUCAUUCACCAAAGCUAGCGAAUCAGGGAGUGACUCCUGUUGUUGCGGGCACUCCUCUUUCGUGUAAUACUCUGUCAUUGUUUUUGGGAACUGAUAAACUCACCCCGUUACUCUUAUCUUCCCACACAUUAUUAUUCCAUCCGCCAUACAAAAUUAAAAAAAAUUAAAAAAAAUUAACAUCUUAUUUUCCAACCCCUAUAAUCUACAUAGUCAUUGGUUUUGUUGGAGAGUUGUAGAGAGCAAGAGAUCUGCUUCAUCAAUUCAACUAAUUUAGUUCGAAGCAAAAGAAUUAAAUCGAAAAAGUGGAAGUAAGAAUAUCAGAAACAGUUAAAAAAAAAAUUCGAAUCUGCAAGUAAAGGGGAAGCAGUUUAAGAGGGAGAGCGUACCGGCGAGCUUCUCAGCAUCGAACCAAGAUUCUGAUUCCCCUGUCCUCUCUCUCUCUCUCUCUCUCUCUCUCUCUCUCUUAAAUUGCUCUCCUAAAGCCGAGAUUUGAUUCAAAUGACCUGGAAGCUAUCAAAUUAAAGAUGCAAAAUUGCAACAAAACGUCCAAAAUUUUAAAAUUUGUUGGAAAAAUCCACAAACUGAUGAACAUAUUUGGAAUUGGAGCCCUAGAAAUCACAGAAACGAACCAUGAGAAAUGCUAUCUGUCGGUGGAUUCUUGAACUUCUUCCGCCACCGGAAUAAUGGAUCUUUCUCCCACCGAUCAAAACUUGACUCCAUUAAUUAAUCUGCCCAAAUAAUGUACCUAUGGUGUUGUUUUAUAAUUUACCGAUUACUAAUGAUGUUAGGUAAAUUAGUACUUUUAGGAAAUAAAUGAUACAUAUCCAUACAAAACAUCUGCUUUCAUCGGAGAAAUUUUAUUUAAACUCAUAUAAUCUUUUUUUACAUCAAAUUUACUCUCUUCAUUCAUAUUGUUUUUUUAUUAAAAAAUUAAUCUCUCUUUAAACCCAAAUUUAUUACCUAAACUAUCCACUCAAACCCAAUUCAAAAUAUUAAAUUAUCUUUACACGUAUUUCCUUUAUAAAAUAACAUCUGUAAUUAAUUUUUUUUUAAGAAACGUCUUUGCCCCACCCCCCUCUCCUAGUAGCAUUUUCAUGGCUACUUUUUUUCUUUCUGCUACCAAAUCUAGACAUUUACCUUUUUUUCUUUAUACUGAUGUGCAUAAGCAACAAAUCAAACCAUUCAUCCUCUUAUAUUAUCAACAAGCAAUGAAGUUUAUAAUCUAAGAACAUUGGUAAGAAGUUUUUCCUUAUAAUUUUUCAAUUGCAGAAAGCUUAACAAACCAUUCGGAAUUGAUGAAAAAAAUUUAAAUCAAAUGAACAAAAUAUUCAUAAAUUAAGUCAUACCUUAGUUGGAGGAUUCAAAACUUCAAAAUCACCAUCCAUCAAUAAAAAAACUCGUUUUUCUCUAGAAGACCUAUUAGGGUUUUAGCCAGAAUGAAGGAUAAACAAGAAGUGAUGGUAGAGUUUAAUGGGUUUAUUGAUAAAUUUGAGUUUUAUUAUUAAUUUCAUUUUGUACUUAAUAGUAAUUAUGCAAUAUGUUAAAAUAGACAACAACAUAACAUUUAAAUGAAAAAAAAAGUCUAUGUCUUAUUGUUAUUUUUUUUAAACAAAAGGGAAAAAAAAAAGGAAAAAGUCAAUGUCUUAAGUAUGGAUAUGGAAAGAUGUUAGGAUUUUACACAGUAAUAAACAGUGUGAAAUUGUGAAUAAUGGCAUAGGGGUAAAUAAUUUUUAUUAAUGUGUCAAUUAUUAUCUUACAUGAUUCUGUGUUUAGCUGCAAGCGGCACAUACUUGACUGCAGCAGUGAUUAUCCAUUCCUCUGUUUUUUGGACCUGGAUUGUCUGCCCUCAUCAUUCCAUGCCUUCCUAUUUAUGUGGUCACGGUUAAGCCACGUCAACAUUUUAUAUUGAUUUUGCUUUUUGUCUUAUUAUUUUUAUAAAAAAAAUUAAUAUAAAAUGUUAACGUGGCUUAACCGUGACCACAUAACAUAAGAGGGCAUGGGGAGGGCAUGGAAUGGGAAGGGCAGACAAUCCAAGUCCCUGUUUUUUUCAAUCUUUUUUUUCUUUUCAUUCUCUUCUUCUUUUUACAUUUUUUUUUCCUUUUUUAAAGAAAUAUAGCAGAAAAAGUUGAUUGGCUAAAUGUGUCAAUUUUUUAUAUAAACUGGUAGGUAUGAAGCUACAUUUAUCAGUAAGAUCGUAAAGGAGAUCUUGGUCCGCAUGCAACAACGCAUGCAUUUGAACGUAGCCAAAUACCCAGUUGGAAUUAAGUCCUGUGUAGAAAAGGUGAAAGAGCUUUUAGGUCUCGGUGGAAAUGAUCCGUGUGUGGUUGGGAUUUGGGGGGCAUCUGGAAUCGGCAAGACAACAGUUGCAAAAGCUGUUUAUAAUGCAAUUGCUUAUAAGUUUGAAGGUAGUUGUUUCCUGGCAGAUGUUCGAGAAACGUCAAUGCAAUACGGAGGCCUAUUCCAACUACAAAACACUCUUCUAUGGGAGAUUGGUGGUUCAGAGUGGAAAGUUGUCAAUCCUCAUAGAGGAAACAUCCUUAUAGAGAAACUGUUGAGGCGAAAGAAAUCUCUCUUAAUUCUUGAUGAUGUGGAUGAUUUGGAGCAGUUAAGCAACUUGGUUCAAGUUAAAUGGCUCGGUGAGGGUAGCAGAGUGAUCAUAACCACAAAAAAUAAAGGAUUGCUGGAAUCUUGUAAAGUUGAGCUGAUAUACAAGGUCCAAAAGUUAGAAGACAACAAAGCUCUUGAGCUUUUUAGUUGGAAUGCCUUCGGAAAAGAAAAACCUCCAGAUGAUUAUUUGGGACUCGCACGGCGUGCAAUAGGCUAUGCUCAAGGCCUCCCGUUAGCUCUUAAUCUUAUAGGUUCUCAUCUGCGUGGUAAAAAUAUAGAUCGUUGGCAAGAUAUUUUAGAUAGUUACGAUGAAGAACCUUAUAGAGGGAUUCAAAGAGUACUUCGGAAAAGUUAUGAUACCUUGGAUUAUGUCCCGCAACAAGUUUUCCUAGACAUUGCAUGCUUCUUCAAGGGUGAAGAUAAAGACAAAGUUUUACAGAUAUUAAAAGGAUCAAACCUCAAAGUACGUCAACAUUGUAUUGAUGUUCUCGUUGAGAAUGCCAUUAUUACUAUUGAAUAUAAUAGGAUUUUGAUGCAUGACUUGCUAGAAAAAAUGGGUAAGCAUAUAGUUUGGGAAGAAUCGCCCACUGAACCAGGCGAGCGGAGCAGAUUAUGGCAUCAUGAAGAUGUGUACCAUGUUCUAACUAAAAAUAGAGUAAGUAGAAUAUAUGUUCUUGCAUUUGAUUUAAUUGGCAUGAUUUUGGAAAGAAAAAAAAAUUAAAUCCUUUUGAUUUCUUUGUUAUACAAUUUGUUUGUUAACGCUAUUUAUUUUUCCAUCUUAGGGAACAAAGAAAAUUAAGGGCAUUGUGGUGAAGUUGCCCAAGCUAGAUGUGAUACCCUUGAAUGCAAAAAGCUUUUUCAAGAUGGUAAAUCUUGAAAUUUUUAUAAUCCAUAAUGCAUAUUUUUCUGGAUGCGUUGAGUAUCUACCCGAAAAUUUGAGGUGGAUUAAAUUCGGUGAAGAUGGGCUUCAAGACUGGGGAUCCAAACUUAAAUUCAAUUUGCAAUCCAAUUGUCAUCUAAGGCAUCUUGUCACGUUUAUUAUGCCAAACAGUGACAUCAGACAAUUGAAGGUAUUUCAGGUAUGUAUACGUAUUAUAAAUUAAUUUGGACAAUUACUAAUUUAAUUGUAUACUUUAUUUUUGGAAAAAGAAAUUUGCCAAAGCUUUUCAUCAUUAAUUAUUUUAUUUAAAGUUUGUGAUUUUUUUUUUAUUUUGAUUUCUCAGAAUUUGGCAAAGCUUACAUCUUUGAAUUUAAGUGGUUCCGAAUUCUUAGAAAAAAUUCCCAACUUAUCCGGAAGUCCAAACCUAAGGGAGUUGAUACUAAAUAAGUGUAAACGUUUAGUUGAAGUUGAUGAUUCUGUUGGAUUCCUUGAUAAACUUGUUACAUUACGUCUUGUUGGGUGCUCUAGGCUUAAGAGAUUUGUGACGAGACUUAGAUUGAGAUCCCUUCAAAGGCUUAAUCUUGGUGGUUGCACAAGGCUCAAGAGUUUCCCAGAAAUAGAGGUCAAGAUGGAAUCUCUAGAGUAUUUGGCUAUAGAAGAAAGUGGCAUAAGAGAAUUGCCUUCAUCAAUUGCAUAUCUUACUGGGCUUCAAAGAUUGCAUGCAAAUUAUUGUGAGAACCUUACAGGUACAUCAUUACAUCACAUUUAUGGGUUGCAACAUCUUUACUAUAUUGAAAUGAAUGGAUGCCCAAAACUGGUGACAUUUGGGAAGUUUUCAACUCGCUUAGAUACUUCACAUUACAACGGUAUGCCAUUAGCCAUUUUCAACGUAAGCCGGCUUUAUCUUAUUGGAUGCAAUUUAUCAGAAAGUGAUUUCCUUGUGCCUCUUCAAUAUGAACCAUCCAAUCUUCAUUGCUGGUCCACAUUAGAAGAUCUUGAUCUGUCGGCAAACAAUUUUGUUAGUCUUCCGGAUUGCAUUAGCAAAUUUGUCAACUUGAAUGAGCUUAGAUUGCAAGGUUGCAAGAGGCUUCGGGAAAUUCCACAUGCCCUUCCACCAAAUCUAAGUGAUUUAUAUCUGGAUGAUUGCACAUCAUUGGAAAAAAUUCCAAAGUUGCCCUUGGGGCUUAGGCGUCUGCAGUUGACUAAUUGCUUUGGACUAAGUGGCGAUGAGGUGGCAAAGUUGGAAAAUAAUUUGUUGAACUUGAAUCAGGUUCGUCUCUCCUCUUUUAAUUUCUCUUGAAAUUAAAAUAUAUAAUUUGUCGAUACUUGGGAGGGAGAACAGAUGACGAUUGUUUGUAAUUAGUUAUUUACAUAUUAUUCACUAUUGCAGGAAUCUCUUCUGUACUCUCAAUUGCAAGUUAUGUAUCCAGGCAAUGAAAUUCCAAAGCGGUUCAGCUAUGCGUCUAAAUAUCUAACAGCCACUAGGAUUGAAAGUAUACGAAAUGAAGAUGAAGAAGAUGAUGAAGAAGAUGAUGAUGAAGAUGAAGAAGAAGAUGAUGAUGAAGAUGAUGAAGAAGAUGAUGAAUAUGUUGGAGGUAGUGAAUUUAGUAUUGAAAUUCGUCUAAAUUUACAGGAGAGGGAGACGUUAUUAGGAUUGGCUCUAUCUUGUGUUUUUCCACCACGGGUAUCAGAAUUUGGAUGUUUUUACCAUUUUCGUAUUUACAUCAACGAAGCAAGUGAUUUUGAAUUAUUUCAUUGGAUGGGGAAGAGCAUGGAGACAGCUCAUAUGGGGCUCAUGUUAGUGGAUUUAGAGAAGCAGGGAGAUAUUUGUAAAGUUAAACUUCAAUUCCCCGUAUGGGCACGCAUUAAAAUGUGCGGGGUGCACCCCUUAUUCCGCAAAGAAGAUGAUCGGCAACAACAAUGGCCUUCCUUAUCGUCGAACCCAGCGAUGAUCAACCGAAACGCACGCAGAUUGAUCACAAUGUUCCUUCUGAUAUUAAGGUACGGAAAAGCCCUUGAGCUUUUCAGUUUUAGCAAUUUUUUUAUUGUUCUUUAUUGUGAUAUCAUUUUUUAAAUUAAUAUAAUAGAAAUUAAUUAAUUUAAAUUAAAUAAAGGAAAAAAUUUGAACAGUUUUCAAUCUGCAUAAUCAAAGAUUUCAUAUCUGUAGGUGGUUAGUUAUUAGAAAAACAGAAACCACAUUUGUAUCUUGAAGUACAUUUCACUAAUCAAAUCAAAUUCUAAUUAAUCAAAACAAACAAUUAUGGAAGGGAAACAUACAAGGAGAAAUGAGAUUAUAAGUACAAAAUUCAAGAUUAAUUACCUAAAAACUUGGUUUUGUUCAUAUAAGUACAAAAUUUCUACACGAAGAUCAAAGAACUACAUCGUAUGUAAACCACAUGCUUCUCUUUGUUAAUCAAGUUUACACGCAGAGAUGAAAGACUUGUAGGACUACUGUUUAAUCAAGAAUCGGGGUUUGCAACUAUUUUUUUAUUAGCAUUUACUUCUGCUUUUUCAAUUAAUGGAUACGUGGAAAAUUUGAUUUGGUGUGGAUUUAGAAAAGAAGCAGGGAGAUAUUUGUAAUGUUGAAUUUCUUUUCCUCAAGGGCGCAUGCAUUAAAAGUUGCGGGGUGCACCCACUAUUGCGCAAAGAAGACGAAUGGCUUCCCUUGUCUUUGGGACCAACAAGUAGUCUUGGAAAGACGCCUCGUCCACUUGGAUCCUCAGAUACCGUCCACGAGGAAUAUGAUCGGCAACGACAAUGGCUUUCCUUAUCUUCGAACCCGGCGGAUGAUCAUCCGAAACGCAGGCAGAUUGAUCUUAAUGGUCCUUUUGAUAUUGAGGAGGAGGAGCAAGAGCAACCAUCCACUUCAGAUGAUUCACAAUUUUUUCUUCAUUAGGAGUUUGGGUACGUACAUUUCAGUUUUAGUAUAACUAAAUAAUUUUUUUAAUUUUUUUUUGUAUUGUGAAUUUGUGAUACCUUUAUAGAUUAAUAUAAUAAAAUUAAUUAAUUUAAAUUAAAUACAUAAAAAAAAGAAAAUUACAUUUUACCUCCUCAACUUUGGGUCACAUAACAAUCUCAUAUUUUAUCUUUUAAAUAUUGCUAUAUUAUACAUCAAUUUACAAAUUUGCUGCAAUAUCAUGCCUCCAUCAACUUUUCUGUUAAUUUUUAUGUUAAAUGCUGAUGUGGUAGACACGGAUCCGCUCACUUACUUAACUAGGUUAUAAAAUUAAUUUAAUAUUAAAAAUUAAAGAAUUUUUAGUUCUAAAUUAAAUUAAAAUUAACAAAUAAAUUGAUGGAUAUUUUAACGGAGGUUUAAGAUUGCAACAAAUUCGUAAGUUAACUAAGACAUUGUAAUGUUUAAAAGAUGAGGUAUAACUUUGUUAUAAGACCCAAAGUUAAGGUGGCCCAUGUAAUUUACCCAAGAAUUUAAACAAUUUUCAAUUUGCAAAAACAAAGAUUCCAUAUCUGUAGGUGGCUACUGGCUAAUUCUUAGAAAAACAGAAACCACAUUUGUAUCCUAAAGUACUUUUGACUGUGAGUGAGUAAGCCACACUUCAAUAAUAAAACCAAAUUCUAAUUAAUCAAAACAAACAACAAUGGAAGGAAAACAUACAAGGAGAAAUGAGAUUAUGAGUACAAAUUUCAAGAUUAAUUAUCUUAAAACUUGGUUUUGUUCAGAUAUAUAAACCUACAAAGAGAAAUGGAGAUUAUAAGUAUAAAAUUUCUGCAGGAAGAUCAAAGAACUACACCGUUUGGAUGAACAUGUAGAGCACGUACUCCUCCCUCUGUUAAUCAAGUUUACACGCAGAGAUGGAAAACUUGUUGGAGUACUGUUUAUAUAAGAGUACUUUUUAUGAGCAUUUCCAAUUAACGAAUAGGUGAAAUUUUUUGAUUUGGUGUUGAUUAAUAAGAUUUAGUAUGAUUUUAAUAUCAAGAUGAGACAACAAUAUGUAGAAAACAUGGCCAUAAUUUCACAGGUCUCUGUCCCUAUAUAUUGAUUCCUUGCAGAUUCUGGGAUGGAGUUUGGGUCAAAAUUGCAGCCAACUGUGUCUUGACACAUUUUUGGUUUUGGACAAAUACUCUGUCUCCUGCCUUUUGCCAUUUAUGGCUCCUUUGUUUUCUCUGUUGCUGCUGGGACAGAGUCCAUUAGAUUUGCCCGUUUAUUUUCUUUGCUCCCACAAACGGGGUGCAGGAGGCUAAAAAAUGAGCUUUGAAAUUUAUAGGGCCCGUUUAUUUCAUUCCAUUGACAUUUUCAAGCUAACUUUUUGGCUUCUAUGAUCCACAGGUGAGUUGGCUUCGCACAGGCAAGGAAACAUCAUUGGAAGAGUUCAUCCUUAGUCCCCCCAAUGUGCUUACUGAAAAUCAGGGAAAUCAAAUACGGCUAUAUGGUCCCGAAAAGGGCUUAUCAUACAUCGCCAAACCUGCAACUGGACAGAGUUUUAUAUCUCACCACGGGAGCACGUUGAACCUAAGCAUGCCUCUCGUGGAUCCUCUGGUCACUCUCUUUGGCAGUGUCCACGAGAAGAUGUCCGAAAGGGGAAGCAAAGGCAGCAUGCUUUAUCCAAAUCUUGGAAGCAUUUUGAAUGCAGGGGAGUAUCAUAAUAAAAACGCACAUUGGGACAUAGAGAGCCAGACAGAUGGUGAGGAUCACGAAUCUGAAGCAUCCGGGGCUUAUUGUGAUGAAAGCUUGAGAAGUCCACUAAUCUCGUGCCAAACAACAGGCAUGGGAACGCCUAGGUCUUGCGGCAGUGCUUUAGGUGUGAGAUGCAAUACAAUCUUGAUGAAAGGAAAUGUACAAGCUAGCGAGGCUAUCAGUAGUAGUAUGGACACUGGUGGAGGUUGGCAGCUGGCUUAUAUAUAAGUAUUCUGACCGAGUAGGCGAAGACGGGAAGAAGGAAGGAGGAGUUCAAAAAGUGUAUUUGCAUCAGGAUAGUGCACUUUGGUGUCGGCCUGCGUCGGUUGUUUCAAUUUCUGGUGCAUUCAUGGUGGUCUGGUUAGUCAGCCUGAUGUUUCAGAAACUUUCUUGUUUGUCAACCUUCUAUGUUGUCGGGUGCAUCGAUUCUUGGAUAUUUGUUUACUUGAAGGUGCCUGAAACUAAGGGCAUGCCUCUUGAAGUCAUCUCUGAGUUCUUUGCUGCAGGUGUAAACCCAGCUGCUGCUGAUGCAUCUGCGGAUUCCAAUGAAAAGUGAUUUGAUUGUUUAGAGGGUUUGAAAUUUGGUUUGAUUUUAGACUGGGAUUGUGAGGAUAGGGCUUGAAUUGGAGAAGUGCUUAUGACUAGAUUGCUUUUUUUUAAAGUGAUUUUCUAAUCAUCAAUGUCCCUUCCUUAAUGCUGCAGAAGUAUAUUUGAUAUGGAAAACUAAUGAAAAUGGCUUGAAAACCCUAUUUGAUACCAUGUUUUCUAAUCAUAGAUUCUUAAUCUAAUCCUAAAUAUUGAUUGAAGUUUAAAACAGUCUAAUUAACCACCCUUGUAGUUCCAAAUUGAAGUUUAAAACAGUCUGCACUUAUAUUUUCCUAUCUAUUUAAUUUUAGGCAGACAUAUAUUGUUGUAGACACUCUUUCUUAUUAUUGUGAUCAUAUACCAAAUAACUCAAUAUAGAUCACAAUAAUUCUUACUGAAGUAUGGUUUAAAUUUUUGUUAGAUAUGAAACUGAUCAAAAUCAAAUUGCUCAUGCGUUACAUUGUAUUUAAAAAAAACGUGUGUCUAACACUAAUUUGAUUUGCAUACUGUCUUAUAAGAUCUUAUUUAACUCGUGACAAAUAAUAGUAUAUGACUUGCUAAUUUAUUUACAAAGGAGAAAUUCACUAACUUUACGUAUCCUAAACGGCCAAUAUAUGCACCUGAGUUUGAAUUUUCAUUCCCAUAAUAUAGAUUUUUUUUUUAAGUUUGUAUGAAAAGAAUUUUACAAUGUCUUGAAAAAAUAUGAAGGAAGAAAAAAAGAAACUGUUUUUAACUGCUGCCUAAGCUGAGCCCAGUUGCCGUGUAGCACUAGCAAGUAGCAACAGGAAAGUCUGCUGAGAAAAGUCAGUCAUCGUCUUCACUAAAUUGAGUUAGAAGAAUUAGGGGUUUAGAUUUGCAAAGAUCCAAAUUUUAUCAGUCUCUCCGAAAGUAAUCAGAGAAAUGGAAAGUCAACCAAAGAACGGAGACUCGCUGGAGAAGCGGCCCGGCAUCUUCUUCCUCGGCUCCCCCGGCGUCGGCAAACGCUCUCUCAUUACGCGUAAGCUCUCUCUCCUUUGACCGAUACUAAGCAUGAUCUGUUGAUUUGUUGGAUUACUGGGUUUGGAUUUAUACAAUGCUUCUGAUUCUUCAUCGUCAUCUCAACUGGUAGUCAAUGGGUAUGUAAAUUUUUAAUUUUGGGAUCAAAGAAUUCAAUUUUAGGAAUUUUGGGUACAAAGAAUACAACUUUUAGGAAUUUUGGCAACAAAGAAUUCGUUUUUAAUUCUUUUGAAAUGUGAAUUUUGAUGAUUUUUUUUGUGUUAAAAAAAUAGAUGGAAUAUCUCUACAAAGUACUACACAGCUGACGUUUCGGUAUGGAUGGCUCGUCUCCAUGACGAAUUUUCGAUUGAGUCCCUCCCAAUGUUUGACCAGUUGGCUGCCUUGAUCUGGUUUUCGACACAACUGAGGUUUCCGUCUCUUGCCACUCACUCUUUGUCAUUUUGUUUACUUAUUUAGCAUGAUUUUCGAUGUGUCUUGUAUCAAUUUGUUCGCGUUAUGCUGCAGUUGUCGUCUCUGUCUGCGCUUCAGAAAUAGGUAUCUUGAACUGAUCUUCAAAAGUUCGAUAUACUAGUGUGCAUAGGGAAUAAGGUUGAUCUUGUUCCAGGUCACCCGGUUCAUACCGAAUAUAGAAGACGACUGCAGAAGUUUGGAGACCAGUUUGAUGAUGACGACGAUCUAGGGUUCACUGUGUAUGGAAUCACCGAGACUGAAGGAAGCAGUUUAUUGGGGGAUGACGAGUCAUAGGCCAGAGACACAUGUUUGGAAUGGUGCACUGAGCAUAACUUUGAGUUCGUCGAAGCUUAUGCUGAUUUUAACAAAUGUAAGGCAGCACUUCUUUCUGACUCGUAUUUUAUGGCAAGUUUUAUACGAAAGUGAAAGUUUGAAGCCGGAUGAGAUGUCAAAUUGUUACUAGGCAGCAGUUUAGGUGUGGUUACAUAAAAACACAUGGUGUACCAUACAACUAAAAAUUUCUCCCACAUAAGCAGCACACAGGAUAAACUCAAUUGAACAAGUUGUUGCUCAGGCUCUUUUGUUCAUGAAGAAAUUUUUCAUUAUUGUGCCUAGAAUCAAGUUUUUAAUUUUUUUUUCACACAAAUAUCUCAUCACUUGUUUAGUGACACAUGAUGUAUCACCAUGUGUUAUGGGUAUACUGAAAAAUCUCUCGGCUCUAUCUCUGUCAUCUUAUAAUUUAAUUUCGAUUUUCGUGCCAACAUUACAAAACAUUAUUUCAAAAGUAUGAAGUGAAAGAUAUUCUAUGGAGACUAGGAAUAUAAGUUGCUUAUUAAGGUUUUUAUUUGACCAAUGUGAUAUUUUGGUUAGGUAAGUAAUUGAAGGUGAACGUUCUUAGUUAUCUGAAAACAUUUUUCUGAUGGUUUUAGAAGCAGCCCAAGUGACCGGUUCGAUAUUUAGGUAAGGAGGUAAAUGAUUAUGUACAAGCGUCGAUAACAUAUUCAAAAUCUAAAGCACUUAUAAACUAUCAUGAAGUAAACGUUCUUGAUUAUCUAAAGCACUUGCAAAAUUAUUAAGAAAAGGAUAUUCUUAGUUAUCUGAAAACACUUUUUUCUCAAUAAUUUUUAGAGGCAAUUUCGCAGUGUUGAGAUGUUAGCUUCGAAGGCACUCCAACUUGCAAAGAGUGCUCCACAAAGUUCAACAAAAGUAGAAACAAAAUCAAUUAAAAAUCCCAACUCACAAGUGAGAGCAAUGGUUAUGCUUCAAGGUCCAACCAUCUGACCUCUCUAAGUUAGGCUUCAAUUUUACUUCAUUUCCCACUCCAAAUUUCCAAGCAUCUGUACCCCAUUGACCCUUUGCCCGCUUUAAGCAAUCUAGAAAAAUCAUUUACAUAAGAGAAAUACUAAGUGAAUUCUUUCAAAACGAACUUUUCAUAACUCUUCGUCACAAAAAAUAAUUCAAUUUUAUUGUCUCCUUUGCAUGCAAGAAUUCAAUUUAUACCUAGCUGAUGUACAUCAUUGUAUAAAAUUCCAAAACUACCAGUGCUUUGGAUUCUGGACCUGACUAAUCACUGUAGACUAAGUAGUGAUGAGAUGGCAAAGUUGGAAAUAACUCGUUGAAUUAGGUUCAUCUCUUCUUCUUAAUUUCUGAUGAAAUGAAAAUUAAUCUUGUUGAUAACUGUAAUUAUUUAACUAUAUAUAUACAUUACUGCAAGAACUUCUUCUGCGUUCUGAAUUGAAAAUUGUUCUUCGAAGCAAUGAAAUUUCGAAGUGGUUCAGAUAUACAUAAAAAAAUUAAAUUUUUUUUCAUUGUGACGGGAAUACAGGUUACCACCACGGAUGUUUAUGUAAAUGGUGGGAAAUUUUAUUUUUUAAGUUAUUAACCUUUUAACAUACAUAUCCCAACAUUUGUAUAAUGACAUAUGGUAUACUAUUUCGUGUGCCGGUCACAUUAAAAAAUCACUCUGGUUAAGAAAAAAAUGCAUUAUUAGUCUAAAAGACCACCGAAUGUCGGUGGGACCAAGUUUGAUUGCACUGCUCCCUCUUUUUUAUUCUUGAAUUAAAAAAAAUCAAAAAGGAGAAUUAAUAGGUAAAAGUAAAAAAAUAAAAAAAGUACAAAAGAAGGAAUCGGGUGUGAAGAAAAUCACUCUACAAUACGUAAUACUUUUGUUACAUUUUUGAAAGUCAAUUGCAUGUUGAUGUGCUUUUAACUUUUGAGUACAGAAUACUUAAUAUUUGUCAAUCAAUCAUCGGUAUAUAUCAUGUUGGAAGAGGAUUCCCAUUGGAUUCUUUUUGUGGAGAUUUAGGUGAUUUUCUAAUUCUGCGUAUUUAUCGUUAUUGUGUAGUAAAAAAUCAUAUUAAAUAUUUAUAUUUAAAAUUAAAAUUAAAUAUUAUUUGACGAAAAUUGAUCGAACGAUGAACAAUAAACGCACCAAAUUAAAGGAUCUCCCUAAAUUCCCAAAAAAAAAAAUCUGAAGAUGAUCCUCUUCCUAUCAUGUUGAUAUCGUGGAGCACAAGGUAAUAGUUAGCAAACGAAAUUGAUAGGAUAGGGGUAAUGUGAUUAAUACAAGUGCAAAGACGACAACGAGGGAUAAAGUGAUACUUUCGUGCUAGUUCCGAGGACAUUUUGGUAAUUAAGCCUUUAUAUUUACUAAUCUUGAUUUGAUUUAUAAUUAGUACUCAUUUUUGGCGUCGUAUCAUUCUGACAUGGAUUCCUUCCGGAUCCAUUAUGUGGGGAACUAGGGAUAUUUACAUCUCAGUCGUUUAUUGUGUAUCGCAUGAUCAUAAAUCAGUUGAUUUUUAUUUAUUUAAAAUUAAACACAAAUUGUACAUGAUGAAAACUGAUCGCAUAAUAUACGAUGAACGCUGAGAUGUGUUGAAUCUUUAUCGAUCCCUUUUUUUUUAACGUUUAACAAUUGAACUCAUUAAUAUUAAAAUAGAUAAAAAUAGAGUACGAACAAAAAAAAAUCUUAAAUGCUUUUGUUGCAGUCUUUCAAGUUAAUUGCGUAUUUUCAUGCAUUUUAACCUUUGUAUGUACAUAAUUGAUUUGUCAUACGGUCAUAGUAGCUUCAUAUGACAUCGUUUAUGUGUCAUGCGGGUGAAAAGAACGUGUGCUUCAAUAACAAACGAAAAUAAUAAAUAAAUAAUAAAACUAAUGAAAAUGGUUUGAAAAUUUGAGUUUUAAUGAUAAAGACAAAACAAAGGAUAAAGUAAAUAGUAUCAGGAUUGACUUUUUAGUAUAAAAAUAUGGUUUUUCGUUAAAGUGAACAGUACCGAAAAGUUUUUUUGUUAAAAUUCCCUAAAAAAAAAAAUCAAUCUUUAUGAAUAGAAGUUGCAACCAAAGCUCCUCUCCAUCAAUUCUGGAAGGUAGCACGUAGGAAACUGCUUUGUGGCUGUGGGUAGGCAGAAAAGCAUGAGGCUUGACAAGAGAAAGUCCCCAAGUUUAUUUGGCUUUUAGUAUAAAUUAUUUUCUCAUUUGUCGAAGAAAAAAUCACCUUAAAUGACUCACCUUUCUUCAGGUAUGCGACAUUAUUUAUAUGGUUCAAAAUGACACAAACCGGAUAUAAAUAAUGUGGGGGUGUGGUUAAGGAAAAAAUGCAUUAUUACUUUGGUAACUCAAAAACCAUCUAUUGUUGGUGAAACCAGAAUUUUCCUAACAUUUGCUCACUGACGUUAUCGUUUUGUUGAAAAAUAUAAAUAAAUUCUGCACCUGCAUCCUGUUUUCAAUGCACUGCAUAUUCCUCUGCUUCUCUUGUUUUUUUUUUUUUUUUUUUUUUUUUUUGUUGUUCUCGUUACGAAAAUGAAAAUUAUCCAAAAUGAAUGGUAUUAGCUAUUCCCAUCCUAAAUGGAAGCGUGAAGGGAUUGUAAGAACUUUAACACAGAUCGAUGAUAUGCCAAUUGAAUUACCAAUGUUCUGAAACAAGUCAAGUGACAAAACUUAUGAACAAGAACAAGGAUUGCCGAGAACAUACCUGCAGAAUUUGAACUUGAAGAAACCAUAACAGCCUCUGUGUUCAAAACCUUCUCCUCUUUUACGAUCACAAUAGCUUUUCUAAUCAAUAGGACUUAGAACAACAUAAGCUAAUAUCGCAAGAGCAGUGGUUUGAACCAUAAAUAUAUAGUGCUCCUUCGUCCAUUCCCUAUCAGAAUUGGACUAGGAUUCAAAGACAUACAAACCAUAAAGAUUCAUGAGACUUUAUAAAGUUCCAACACAAAGUUCUUUUCCAAAACCAAUUGGAACUUCUCUCAAGACUGCAUUCCUUAUCAGAUUUAGACUUCUUUAUAAUAUCAAUUAUCCCAAGACUUAUAAGAAUCAUACUCAUACUCUUACAUUCUCCCACUUGAGUAUGAUUCAUCACAACAGAUAAUCAUCUCAAAUUAUAAAGGUGAUCAGAUAAGUCAUUCACCAUCACACUAGUACAUAGACACAACCUGCUUACAUAAACCAAAACAAUGAAUUUAUAAUUGCCUAUGCAACACAAAAUACAGAUUUAACUUACAAAUCACAAUGUCCAGUUUAUGUUCAUAGCAAUGUAUCUAAGCUCAAAUUUAUAUAAAAAUUACCAAAUGUUUUGGAUAAAAGCUUAUCCUCACAUACAACUUACCUAUGCAUUUUACCAAACCAAUUUGCUCCCACUUAUCUAGGCCAUACUUAACACAAACAAGUUAAGUAUAAGUUAAUAUCAACUGUAUUAACUAACAGUCAUUGCAAUACACUGAAUGUCUUAUUAAUGUGAUCAAUUGCCGCAACCAAUACGCAAACAAAUUCCAUGAUCACAUUCAUCCAAUUCGUAUUUACAACAAUGUGAUUUUACUUGACCAGAGCAAACACAUAAAUUGAUUUGCUCCCACUAUAUCAAGUUAAGUUUAGUUCCAGCAAAUAGCACUAAACUUCUCAUUACUUAAACAAAUUAAGUAACAUAAAUAAUUACCAAUUGCUUCAAUAAAACCAUAAUCUGGUUUUCAAGCAUCCAUAUGAAUUAUAAUGGCUGGCUUAAAUACUCUUAGCCUUAUGCUUAUAUUCGAACAUACGAUUCUCCCACUUAAGCAUAAGGAGAAUAUACUGCACAGUCAAUAAAGAAAUCGGAGAUAUGAACCAAUUGGUUCCCGAUUCCUUACCUAUUGCAUAAUCUCAGUUUAGUUAUAUACACCUAAACCAUUAUACAAAACAGUCUAUGUAUCAAAAGAUAGUCACAAUCCAUUCGGAAAAACUUAUCUCACAUAAACUCAAAAUCACUAGUUUCAACAAUGAUCAAAAUCAGAAUAGCAAGCACAAUAUUUUUGCAUUCAAUUUGAUCUUAACUAGUUCAAUAUCCAUCGAGCAAGAUCAACCAAAAUUUGAUAAUGUUUGGAUAUAUAUGACAACAAUAUAUCUUGAUUAAAACGAGAUAAUCAAGACUACUAUUUCUUCUGGAGAACUCGAAGUUCAUCUUUCUCCUUAUUUGUGAUUUCAACCAAAAUAUAAUAGCGGAAGCAUGCAUCAUGAAAUCACAAAUAUACAUAUACAAUAAGCAUGCAUCGAUAUAUAUACAUGAUAAGAUUAGUCGACAAUAAUCCAGAUUAAAAAUCUUCAUGCCUUUAAUUCAUUGUCAACACCAUCAUCAAUUAUAUACAGAUUCGUAAGCAAGUCCUUGGAGAAAUAAUGAUAACUGCAUAUCAUUAGUCUUAUGAAUUUCCAAUAAGAUGACAAAUAAUUAUUUGUUUUCCGAUUCAUAAUAGAAUAUAUAUUUUGUAAAUGGCUAAAAGUUUAUUGUCACAAGACUCAUUAUAGGCGGUCAAUAAAACAUCUACCUUAUAUAUUCAUUUGUUCAUAUAUUUUCUUGUAUGCUUGCAUCAAUAUUCAGAGAAACUUAUGCAAGUUCUAUUUGAUAUAGAUAAAGCCGCAUGCCCAUAAUUACAACAUCUAUGCAUGAAUGCUAUCUAGAUAUGAAUACAAAUUUAAUUCAUAUAUGCGAUUUAUGUAUAAGUCACAAAGCAAUUGGCAUCCAUUUUAUAUAUGCAUUCCAUGUUGUUGCUUUAUAUUGCUUGCCGACUUGCACAUGAUAUGCAGUCAAAUCCAUUCCAACCCAAACUUGAUAUAAAUCAAACCAAUUGAAAAUCAGGAAUUGACAAUAAGAUGUGCACUUGUGCUGCUCCCCGCAAUUAAAUGUAUUGAGAUUCAUACAUGAAACAAUGCAUAUACACAGACUCUUUAAUGAAAAAUGGAAAAGUAUAUCUAGACAAAUUUGUUUAUGCAGCAAAGUAUGAUUCCAGACAUCUCACAUAAAUCACAAGUUGGCAUCUAUAGGGAUUUCGAGUUUAAUCAUGCCUUUACAAUUUAUAUAAAUAAACAAGCAUACUCGAAAUAGCAAAAGACCUAAUCAUUAUGCUCCAACUCAUCACACUAUAAUCAUGCAUAUAGGAGAACAAUUAAUCACGCAUGAAACAGUGAAGUGAGUUACAUGAAUGCAUCAUUGGACUCGUAUUCGUCAACCAAUUGCAAUUCCUCGACUCCAAAUUAACGAAAUUACUUAUCCAUCAGUGCUCGAGAAUCGUCCAUGCGGAUUGUCAUCACUCCAAAUUCCCAUGCGGAUUGCCAUCAUAAUCAACACAGCGGAAACAAGAAUUUUGAAAAUCAGAAUUACGAUGUUUAUGAGAGAUGUAUACUGAUAAAUUACUAUACUUAUCACCAAAUAAGCAAACAUGAAAAAGUUCUCUCAACCCCAGAUUGAGAAACACGGUUUCAGAAUAAGUAACUAAUCUUGACACCAAUUCCAUUUAACUCAAUCUAAAUGUUAAACAAAAUUCAAGAAAUUGCAAUAAGAUUUCAAAAUACAUACCCUUUUAUGAAUGGUUUCAGGAUCGUAUCAAUCUUAGCAUCAAUCAUGUAUAAAGAUUGCAGUAUUGUAUAUAUUACAUCAGGAGUUUUGUAUGUAUCAAGGAUCAAAAUUCGAUAAACUUGAUAUAAUACAUCAGGAGUUUUGAAUUAUAAACAUACCUUUGGGAACAAAAGAAAAAUAUAUAUUAUCGCAAAUCCAAAUCUUAAACAAAGAUGGUUGUGAACGAGAAGAUCUAGAAGCAAAGCAUGUUUGGAUCAUCACAACUUCAAACCAAGAAGAGAAAAAAGGUGCAAACCCAGAAAAUUUCGUACAAGGUUAUGAGUUUUGCCAAUAUUCAAUUUAAACAAGGUUAUACGUUUUCUAGGUUUGGAACGUUUAAGUGUUCAUAGCUUUUCCAUCAGAUUCUUGUGUAAAUUUCGAACUCAAUGACAAUAAUCAACUAGGCUCUGAUACCACAUGUAAGAACUUUAACACAGAUCGAUGAUAUGCCAAUUGAAUUACCAAUGUUCUGAAACAAGUCAAGUGACAAAACUUAUGAACAAGAACAAGGAUUGCCGAGAACAUACCUGCAUAAUUUGAACUUGAAGAAACCAUAACAGCCUCUGUGUUCAAAACCUUCUCCUCUUUUACGAUCACAAUAGCUUUUCUAAUCAAUAGGACUUAGAACAACAUAAGCUAAUAUCGCAAGAGCAGUGGUUUGAACCAUAAAUAUAUAGUGCUCCUUCGUCCAUUCCCUAUCAGAAUUGGACUAGGAUUCAAAGACAUACAAACCAUAAAGAUUCAUGAGACUUUAUAAAGUUCCAACACAAAGUUCUUUUCCAAAACCAAUUGGAACUUCUCUCAAGACUGCAUUCCUUAUCAGAUUUAGACUUCUUUAUAAUAUCAAUUAUCCCAAGACUUAUAAGAAUCAUACUCAUACUCUUACAGGGAUGAGAUAAGGAAUGGGACCCUGACAAAGACUGGUAAUAGUAUUAGUAAUUAGUCUUCGGUAGUUCAAAGACGACCGUGGAACCAAGUUUGAAUGCACUCCUCCCCUUUUUUUUAUUCUUGAAUUAAAAAAAUCAAAAAGGAAAAUUAAUAGGUUGAAAUAAAAAUAUAAAAAAAGUACAAAAGAAGGAAACGGUGUGAAGAAAGUCCCUCUACAAUACGUAAUACUUUUGUUACAUUUUUGAAAGUCAAUUGCAUGUUGCCGUGCAUUUUAAUUUUUGAGUAUAGAAUACUUGAUAUAUUGUCAAUUAAUCAUCCGUAUUUUGUCAAUUAGUGUCUGGUACCUAUGGAUCCUUUAAUCUGGACCGUACAACUAACAGUCCUGAUUUGAUUUGCACAUCAAUCAAUGGUCCAAAUUAAAGGAUCUAUAAGCUCCAUAACGAAUCCAAUUCCUAAAAAAUUUGAUCGUAUAAUGAAUAAUGAAUGUACCAAACUCCCACAAAGAAGAUCCGGAGAGAAUCCUCUUCCUAUCAUGUCGAUAUCGUGGAGCAAAAGGUAACAGUCAGCAAACGAAGUUGAUAGGAUAGGGGUACUGUGAUUGAUACAAGUGCAAAGACGACGAGGGAUAAAGUGAUACUUUCGUGCUAGUUCCGAGGACAUUUUGGUAACUAAGCCAUAUUUAGUACUCUUUUUUGGUGUCGUAUCAUUCUCUCUCUCAAAGAUUAAUUAUAAGAGAACUUUAACAAAAAGCUUCAUGUAUUAUUUAUUUUAAUAAAAAAUUAUAUUUUUACACUAAAAAGUUAAUUAUGGUAUUAUUCACUUUAGUUUUUUUUUUAUAGUUAAAACUCAAAGUUUUCAAGUAUUUUUUAUUAAUUUUCCUUAAUUAUGAUUUACAAAUAGUAGCUGAAAUGGGUCUCUUUUUUCUUUAUAUGCAAUUGUAUUUCAUUACUUCUUUUGUCUUUUUCUUCAGCACUGAAAAAAAAAAAAGAAAAUUGCUUUCAUACAUCAUUUCUCAUUUUAUCACACUUUUGUUUUGUUGUAUUUAGAUUGAAAUCACUAGCGACAAAAAUUGUCCGAAUGGAAUCGUUUUAGUUGUUCCCGACUAAUAUAAAAGUCCUAACAAAGACCGACAAGAGCAACGUGGGGCUGGUAAAAAAAAGUUGAGUCAAAAUCGCUACCCAGAAAAUUGUCCGGAAAGAAUCUUUUUAUAGCUGUUCCCAUCUGUCUAGUUUGAUGAAUGGAAGUUCCGAGGAAGGUUGCUUUGCUUUAACUUUAUCACGUUCACAUUGAAGGUGGUAGGAAACUGCUGCUUCACAUUGAAGGCAGAAAAUCAUGCGAAAGGCCUGAUAUAUAACAAGAACGAAUUCUUGGUGCAAGUACCAGUCCAGCAUCCAUACUCAAUUCUUUGAAAGGCCCUUACCUAGAUUUCUCCAAUGAACAAUCAACUUGUCUCUUCUUCUUCCUUCAGCAGUCCUCCUUUGUGGAAGUACGAUGUCUUUUUGAGCUUUAGAGGAGAGGAUACACGAACCAAUUUUACAGAUCAUUUUUACAAGGCGUUGGACGGCAAGGCAAUCACCACGUUCAUUGAUCACCAACUUAAAAGAGGAGAAGGAAUAUCUCAGGCUCUUCUCGAAGCAAUUGAUGAGUCGAGAAUUUCGAUCAUUAUAUUAUCUAAAAACUAUGCAUCUUCAAGAUGGUGCUUGGAAGAGCUCGUACGUAUCCUUGAAUGUAGAAAGUCAAGGAAGCAAAUUGUUUUGCCAGUUUUUUACAAAGUGGAUCCGUCCGAUGUACGAAAGCAAACGAGUAGUUUGGUGACGCGUUUACAGAAAAGUUCAAAUUCGAAGACAACAAGGAGAAGAUCCUCACAUGGAGGAGUGCUCUUACAGACGCAGCAAAUUUAUCAGGAUAUACUUUCAAAGAGGGAGAGUACGUAUAUUUCUUCCCCUUAUACUGCCUUUAAUCUGAAAAGAUGACUUUACCUGAAAUUCAAUUUUCUUUACAUAAAACCCAACCUAGUUUUUGUGCUUGACUAAUUAAGCUUAACAAGUUACAUUUUAUAUCUUUUGGUUUCCUAAAAUACCCCUAAUAACAAUUUGAUUCUCUAGCAUAUUUAUAUCCAUUUAUUGUGUUAAACCUAUUGCAAGUUUAACUGGUCACUAGUACUCAUUGUGUUAAAUUUCGAAUUGGCUGGAUUAAUUACCCGAGUGUACCCAUUUUUUGUUGUUCAAAUUUUAAAUUUAUUAAUAUUUUUUGGUUUCCUAAUUUUGUUUGAAAAAUCAAUUUACCUACGUUUUUGAAAAAUUAACUUACAAAUUACUGAUUUUGAUUAAUAAUGUACCUAUGGUGUUGUUUUAUAAUUUACCGAUUACUAAUGAUGUUAGGUAAAUUAGUACUUUUAGGAAAGAAAUGAUACAUAUCCAUACAAAACAUCUUUUUUCAUCCGAACAACAACAUAACAUUUAAAUGCAAAAAAAAAGGUCCAUGUCUUAUGGAAAGAUGUUAGGAUUUUACAGAGUAAUAAACGGCAAUGUGAAAUUGUGAAUAAUGGAAUAGGGGUAAAUCAUUUUAUUAAUGGGUCAAUUAUUAUCUUACAUGAUUCUGUAUUUAGUUGCAAGCGGCACAUGCUUGACUGUAUCAGUGAUUAUCCAUACCUCUGUUUUUUUUCAAUCUUUUUUAUCUUUUCAUUCUCUUCUUCUUUUUACCUUUUUUUCUUUUUUCAAAGAAAUAUAGCAUAAAAAGUUGAUUGACUAAAUGUGUCAAUUUUUUUAUAUAAACUGGUAGGUAUGAAGCUACAUUUAUCAGUAAGAUCGUGGAGGAGAUCUUCGUCCCCGUACAACAAUGCACGCAUUUGAAGGUAGCCAAUUACCCAGUUGGAAUGGAGUCUUGUGUAGAAAAGGUGAAAGAGCUUUUAGGUGUCAGGGGAAAUGAUCCGUGUGUGGUUGGGAUUUGGGGGUCAUUUGGAAUCGGCAAGACAACAGUUGCAAAAGCUGUUUAUAAUGCAAUUGCUUAUGAGUUUGAAGGUAGUUGUUUCCUGGCAGAUGUUCGAGAAACGUCAAUACAAUACAGAGGCCUACUCCAACUACAAAACACUCUUCUGAGUGAGAUUGGUGGUUCAGAGUGGAAAGCUGUCAAUCUUCAUAGAGGAAACAUCCUUAUAAAGAAACUGUUGAGGGGAAAGAAGAUUCUCUUAAUUCUUGAUGAUGUGGAUGAUUUUGAGCAGUUAGACAACUUGGUUGAAGUCCAUCAGUUAGGUGAGGGUAGCAGAGUGAUCAUAACCACAAAAAAUAAAGGAUUGCUGGAAUCUUGUAAAGUUGAGCUGAUAUACAAGGUCCAAAAGUUAGAAGACAACAAAGCUAUUGAGCUUUUUAGUUGGAAUGCCUUCGGAAAAGAAAAACCUCCAGAUGAUUAUUUGGGACUCGCACGACGUGCAAUAGCCUAUGCUCAAGGCCUCCCGUUAGCUCUUAAUCUUAUAGGUUCUCAUCUGCGUGGUAAAAAUAUAGUUCGUUGGCAAGAUAUUUUGGAUAGUUACGAUGAAGAACCUCAUAGAGGGAUUCAAAGAGUACUUCGGAAAAGUUAUGAUACCUUGGAAUAUGUCCAACAACAACUUUUCCUAGACAUUGCAUGCUUCUUCAAGGGUGAAGAUAAAGACAAAGUGUUACAGAUAUUAAAAGGAUCAAAUCUCAAAGUACGUCAACAUUGUAUUGAUGUUCUCGUUGAGAAUGCCAUUAUAACUAUUGAACAUAAUAGGAUUUUGAUGCAUGACUUGCUAGAACAAAUGGGUAAGCAUAUAGUUUGGGAAGAAUCGCCCACUGAACCAGACAAGCGGAGCAGAUUGUGGCUUCCUAAAGAUGUGUACCGUGUUCUAACUGAAAACAGAGUAAGUAGAAUAUAUGUUCUUGCAUUUGAUUUAAUUGGCAUGAUUUUGGAAACACAAAAAAAAUUAAAAUCCUUUUGAUUUCUUUGUUAUAUGAUUUGUUUGUUAACACUAUUUAUUUUUCCAUCUUAGGGAACAAAGAAAAUUAAAGGCAUUGUGGUGAAGUUGCCCGUGCCAGAUGUGAUACCCUUGAAUACAAAAAGCUUUUCCAAGAUGGUAAAUCUUGAAUUUUUUAUAAUUCGUAAUGCACACUUUUCUGAAUGCGUUGAGGAUUUACCCGACGAUUUGAGGUGGAUUGAAUUCGGUGGGCUUCAUUACUGGGGAUCCAAUAUUCUUCAAAAGCAUAUACUUACAUUCAAUUUGCAAUCCAAUUGUCAUAUCAGAAAUCUUGUCACGUUUAUUAUGCCAAACAGUGACAUCAAACAAUUGAAGGUGUUUCAGGUAUGUAUACUUAUUAUAAAUGAAUUUGGACAAUUACUAAUUUAAUUGUAUAUUUUAUUUUUGGAAAAAGAAAUUUGCCAAAGCUUUUCAUUGUUAAUUAUUCUAUUUAAAGUUUGUGAUUUUUUUUUCUUUUGAUUUUGAUUUCACAGAUUUGGCAAUGCUUACAUCUUUGAAUUUAAGUGGUUCCCAAUUCUUAGAAAAAAUUCCCAACUUAUCCGGAAGUCCAAACCUAAAGAAGUUGAUUCUAAAUGAGUGUAACCGUUUAGUUGAAGUUGAUGAUUCUGUUGGAUUCCUUGAUAAACUUAAUAGAUUAAGUCUUAAUGGGUGCUCUAGGCUUGAGAGAUUUGCGACGAGACUUAGAUUGAGAUCCCUUCGUAGACUUACUCUUUAUGGUUGUACAAGGCUCAAGAGUUUCCCAGAAAUAGAGGCCGAGAUGGAAUCUCUAUAUGAUUUGGACAUAUCAAAAAGUGGCAUAAGAGAAUUGCCUUCAUCAAUUGCAUAUCUUACCGGGCUUAAAUUUUUGUCGGCAAGUUAUUGUGAGAACCUUACAGGUACAUCCUUACAUCACAGUUAUGGGUUGCAACAUCUCUACCGUAUUGAAAUGAUUAGAUGCCCAAAACUGGUGACAUUUGGGAAGUUUUCAACUCGCUUAGACACUUCACAUUACAACGGUAUCCCAUUAGCCAUUUUCAACGCAUGCAAGCUUUAUCUUGUUGAAUGCAAUUUAUCAGAAAGUGAUUUCCUUGUGCCUCUUCAAUAUGAACCAUCCAGUCUUCAUUGCUGGUCCACAUUAAUAGAACUUGGUCUGUCGGGAAACAAUUUUGUUAGUCUUCCGGAAUGCAUUAGCAAAUUUGUCAACUUGGAAAUACUUUGGUUGACUGGUUGCAAGAGGCUUCGGGAAAUUCCACAUGCCCUUCCACCAAAUCUAAGGGAAUUAUAUCUGAAUGAUUGCACAUCAUUGGAGAAAAUUCCAAAGUUGCCCUCGGGGCUUAGGUGUCUGCAGUUGACUAAUUGCUUUGGACUAAGUGGCGAUGAGGUGGCAAAGUUGGAAAAUAAUUUGUUGAACUGGAAUCAGGUUCGUCUCUCCUCUCUUAAUUUCUCUUGAAAUUAAAAUAUUUAAUUUGUUGAUACUUGGGAGGGAGAACAGAUCAUGAUUGUUUGUAGUUAUUUACGUAUUAUUCACUAUUGCAGGAAUUUCUUCGGUGCUCUCAAUUGCAAGUUACGUAUCCAGGCGAUGAAAUUCCAAAGCGGUUUAGCUAUACCUCUAAACAUCUAACAGCCACUAGGAUUGAAAGUGUAGGAAAAGGUACAAGGCAACAUGAUUAUGUUGGAGGUGGUGAAUUUAGUUUUGAAAUUUCUCUAAAUUUACAGGAGAGGGAGACGUUAUUAGGAUUGGCUCUAUCUUGUGUUUUUCCACCACAAUUGACUGGAGGGAUUUGUUAUUACUACAAUCUUCGUCUUUACAUCAACGAAGCAAGUGAUUAUCAACAAUUUAGGUGGAUAGUGGAAGGCAAGGAGGCUCAUGUGGGGCUAGUGUUAGUGGAUUUAGAGAACCAGGGAGAAAGCCCAUGUGGGGCUCAUGUUAGUGGAGAUAUUUGUAAAGUUAAAGUUCAAUAUCCCAACUACUCGAGCAUUAAAAGCUGCGGGGUGCAGCCCCUAUUGCGCAAAGGAGAUGAACGGCUUCCCUCGUCUUUGGAACCAACGAGUAGCCUUGGAUCCUCAGAUAUCGUCAAUGAUGAAUAUGAUCGGCAACAACAAUGGCCUUCCUUAUCUUUGAACCCAGCGGAUGAUCAUCCGACACACACACAGAUUGAUCACAAUGUUCCUUCUGAUAUUGAGGAGGAGCAAGAGCAACCGUCCACCAUUUCUGAUUUACUAGGAGUUUGGGUACGUACAUUUCAGUUUUAGCCAUUUUUUUAUUAUUCUUUAUUGUGAUAUCUUUUUUAAAUUAAUAUAAUAAUAAUUAAUUAAUUUAAAUUAAAUAAAGGAAAAAAUUUGAACAGUUUGCAAUCUGCAUAAUCAAAGAUUUCAUAUCUUUAGAAACAAAGAUUUCAUAUCUGCAGGUGGUUAGGCCAUCUCCAACCGAUAGCUGGUCAGAGGGUUCGUUUUAACCAUCUGGCCCUCCAAGAUUCUUCAAGAUAUUAAUAUUUUAAUGAACAGUACAUGACCAUAUUUGCCUCCGUCUCCAACCGAGGGUCAUAGGGCCAAACAUAAUUUAUUAUUUAAAAACUACAACUUAAAUUCAAAUCCAACGGCUAAGUGACAAAUUUAAUUUAAUGUUGUUUCAUGUUACUUAAUUUAAUUUAAUGUUGUAUAAUGGCUUAGGAAGUUAUAGGAAAAAAAUAGAAUUUAAAAAAAAUAUGAAACAAAUUUUGUGAAAUAGAAGUUAUAGAAAAAAAUGGAGUUUAAAAAAAAAUAUGAAACAAGUUUUGUGAAAUAAAAGUUAUAGGAAAAAAAAUAGAAUUUAAAAAAAAUAUGAAACAAAUUUUGUGAAAUAGAAGUUACAGGAAAAAAAUGGAAUUUAAAAAAAAUAUGAAAUAAAUUUUGUGAAAUAGAAGUUAAAGGAAAAAAUUGAAGUUGUAUGAAAUUUUUUGUGAAAUAGAAGUUAUAGGAAAAAAUAGAAGUUAUAGAAAGUUAUAGGAAAAAAUAGAAGUUAUAUGAAAAUUUUUGUAAAUAAAAAAUAAUAAUAAAAAUGUAAAAAAAAAUAUAUAUCAAAUGAAACCCAACGGCUAGCUGAGUCAGCUAGCCGUUAUAUUAAAAAAAAUUCCAAACUAUUAGUGUCGGUUAUAAUUGACACUAAUAGUAAAUAAAUAAAAAAAUUUGCCUAUGAAUACCUAUUACUGUCGGUUAUAACCCACAGUAUUAAAAAAUUCUUCUUUAAUGUUGUCGGUUAUAUCUGACAGCAAUAGGGAAACUAUAAAAAAAAAAAUAGCCAGCCCGGGGCUGGCUGGCCGAAAGCAGCCAGCCCUUUGGCCCUUUGAAAUUCCGUGGGGCCCUCCCAGAUUCCAGAGCCCUCGGUUGGAGACGGUUUUAGGGCUAUUUUCGGCCCUCUGGCCCUCUGGACCCUUCGGUUGGAGAUGGCCUUAGUUCUUAGAAAAACAGAAACCACAUUUGUGUCUUGAUGUACCUUUUACUGAUAAAAUCAAAUUCUAAUUAAUCAAAACAAACAAUUAUGGAAGGAAAAUAUACAAGGGGAAAUGAGAUUAUAAGUACAAAAUUCAAGAUUAAUUACCUAAAAACUUGGUUUUGUUCGUAUAAGUACAAAAUUUCUACACGAAGAUCAAAGAACUACAUCGUUUGGAUGAACAUGUAAACCACAUGCUUCUCUCUCUGUUAAUUAAGUUUACACGCAGAGAUGGAAGUCUUGUAGGACUACUGUUUAAUCAAGAGUCCCAGGUUUGCAACUAUUUUUUUAUUAGCAUUUACUUCUGCUUUUUUAAUUAAUGAAUAGGUGGAAAUUUGAUUCGGUGUUGAUUAUAAGAUUUAGUAGAAUUUUAAUAUCAAGAGGAGAUAACAAUGUAGAAAACAUAGCCCCUUGAAUCAACUUGAUUGAUCUCGACCCUCAUGAUCUCACGGGUCUCGGCCUGCUUCGGUUGUUUAAAUUUCUGGUGUAAGCCAAGAAAGUGAACUCAUUAAUGUUGCUGCUCUAGUUAGUCAGCCUGCUUUUUCUGACAAGCCUGCGGUCUCUUUAUGUUCCACCAUGGGAAGCUGGGAGUGAAGCGUGCAUUAGUUGUUGGAAUUGGACUUCAAAUUCUUCAACAGGUUUGGUAGAAAAAGUUAAAAGGAAAAUUUUAUUUAAAACCAUGUAACUUUUUUUCUACACUCCUCAGGUGUAUGAGCAGGCCCGCGUCGCCAUUCUUCUAUCUAACAUAGGGUUGAAUCCAACAUUUGCAUCUCUCUUCGUAAGUGCCAUUACAAUUGUCUUAAUGGAUAUAGCUGGCAGAAGAUAAUUUCGAACACCUUCGGUUUCCUAGAACCGAUUACUAACUUUUAAUCAAAAUUAUAACUAGGGUAAAUUAUCCAAACGAUAAAAUAAAGUUUAGUGUCACUCCAUUUCCAUUUUAGACUAAAAGUUUGUAACCGGUUCUAUCUAUAUGCAUAUUUGCAAAAAAUAAGCUUUCCUUUUUGCCUUUCUUGGUAUGCCGGUCGCUGCUGCUCUCCACAUUACAUUGUCCCUCACUCUUCUUGUAGUUGCCAACAUUGUCAACUUGGGAACUGUUCUGAAUGCAACAAUUUCCACCGCCGUGCCUGCUGCUUCGUCAUGGCAUUUGGAGUAACCCCGAACAUUCUCUGCGCUGAGAUCAUCCCUACGAGCAUCCACGACCUCUGCAUUGCCAUCUGAGCCCUCACAUUCUGGAUUGGAGACAUCAUCAUCACUUACGCAUUUCCUGUCAUGCUCUUCUCCGUUGGAUUUGCUGGCAUCUUGGGAAUCUAUGUUGUCCGGUGCAUUGUUCCUGGAUAUUUGUUUACUUGAAGGUGCCUGAAACUAAAGACAUGCCUCUUGAAGUUAGCUGCUGCUGAUGCAUCUGUUGGAUUCCAAUGAUAACUGAUUUGAUUGUUCAGAGGAUUUGAAAGUUUGGUUUGGCUUUAGACUGGGAUUACGAGGACAGGAUUUGAGUUGGAAAAAGUGCUGAU
Molecule: long non-coding RNA, 39077 nt
Filed under: Malus domestica (apple)
Lineage: Eukaryota; Viridiplantae; Streptophyta; Magnoliopsida; Rosales; Rosaceae
Description: long non-coding RNA (MDOM_LNC001474)
Source: RNAcentral